Molecule: transfer RNA, 71 nt
Filed under: Girella punctata (largescale blackfish)
Lineage: Eukaryota; Metazoa; Chordata; Actinopteri; Centrarchiformes; Girellidae
Also listed under: 1 other name
Description: tRNA-Ser
Rfam family: tRNA
About the family: Transfer RNA (tRNA) molecules are approximately 80 nucleotides in length. Their secondary structure includes four short double-helical elements and three loops (D, anti-codon, and T loops). Further hydrogen bonds mediate the characteristic L-shaped molecular structure. tRNAs have two regions of fundamental functional importance: the anti-codon, which is responsible for specific mRNA codon recognition, and the 3' end, to which the tRNAs corresponding amino acid is attached (by aminoacyl-tRNA synthetases). tRNAs cope with the degeneracy of the genetic code in two manners: having more than one tRNA (with a specific anti-codon) for a particular amino acid; and 'wobble' base-pairing, i.e. permitting non-standard base-pairing at the 3rd anti-codon position.
Source: RNAcentral
AAGGAAAUGGCAGAGUGGUUUUGCAGCCGGCUUGAAACUGGCUCACGGGGGUUCAAUUCCUCCUUUCCUGG